This 448-nucleotide long non-coding RNA is filed under the name Physcomitrium patens. RNAcentral's name for it is "long non-coding RNA (PPAT_LNC005254)". The record is from RNAcentral. Lineage: Eukaryota; Viridiplantae; Streptophyta; Bryopsida; Funariales; Funariaceae.
AUUCAGAUAUUCUGGAAAAAGAUGUGCUGGUCUGUAGUGAGACCCGAGUCUAUGAUUAUGGUCCUUGGAGUCCAUGAUGGUGUCCUCGCCUUUCAUCUUAGGGACCUGGUUCAGCUUAUCUGAUUUUGCCCUAAUCGAUUAGACAGGCAUCAGUCAUGUUUGAUAUCUCAGACUCUCUUUUUGCCAUUGAACUCUUUUAAUUCAACUAUUCCUGGUUUCUCAUCAGUUGAAACAUAUUUCACCACUGCAAGUAUAUCAAGAAAAAUGACGUGCUUGCAAUAUUUUGUCAGUAGGAUCUUACGUGUUGCACGGAUUUCAUGGUCGUGCUACUGUUGUUGGGGCUAAGGUCCACCUCAUCUGAUGGUCUUCCAAAACGGUGGACGCCACAAUGAACCACUAUGUGAUCUGAAGUAGCCCUGGGGUUCAAUGUCCUGCUCUGGUGCAUUUC